RNAcentral lists this ribosomal RNA (253 nucleotides) under uncultured bacterium. RNAcentral's name for it is "partial 16S ribosomal RNA". It matches the Rfam family "Bacterial small subunit ribosomal RNA", at positions 524 to 776 of the family's 1533-position model. The record is from RNAcentral.
UACGUAGGGGGCUAGCGUUGUCCGGAUUUAUUGGGCGUAAAGAGCGUGUAGGCGGCCAGGCAGGUCUGGUGUGAAAACUCGAGGCUUAACCUCGAGAUGUCAUCGGAAACCAUCUGGCUAGAGUCCGGAAGAGGAGAGUGGAAUUCCUGGUGUAGCGGUGAAAUGCGCAGAUAUCAGGAAGAACACCAAUGGCGAAAGCAGCUCUCUGGGACGGUACUGACGCUGAGACGCGAAAGCGUGGGGAGCGAACAGG